Long non-coding RNA from Gallus gallus (chicken), 327 nucleotides. The record is from Ensembl. NCBI's taxonomy places the organism in Eukaryota, Metazoa, Chordata, Aves, Galliformes, Phasianidae.
GCUGAAACCACAGUGCUCCAGUGACCCUCCCACAGGGACUAUGGCCGGGAUGCAGGAUGGGACCAAGCGAGUGGGCCACCCAGGGACCUGCACUGGCCAUGUCAUCCAUCGAGUUACAGAUCUCAUGUCUACAGCAGCUGUCAGCUCAGGGGGAGAGGCACUGGCUGUUGUGGAUGUCCCAUAGGCAGGGGAUAUUCCCACAGGUGGUGCAAUCCAAGCAAUAUCACAGUAAUGAUCACAAGAACAGGACCCAGUGGAUCAGUAAUUCUGAACAUUCCCCAGGGCUCUACAAGACAGAGUGAACGAUUUCCAGCAGCUUCAGUGGGC